AUUGAACGCUGGCGGCAGGCUUAACACAUGCAAGUCGAGCGGGGUGAUGGUGCUUGCACUAUCACUUAGCGGCGGACGGGUGAGUAAUGCUUAGGAAUCUGCCUAUUAUUGGGGGACAACAUCUCGAAAGGGAUGCUAAUACCGCAUACGUCCUACGGGAGAAAGCAGGGGAUCACUUGUGACCUUGCGCUAAUAGAUGAGCCUAAGUCGGAGUAGCUAGUUGGUGGGGUAAAGGCCUACCAAGGCGACGAUCUGUAGCGGGUCUGAGAGGAUGAUCCGCCACACUGGGACUGGGACACGGCCCAGACUCCUACGGGAGGCAGCAGUGGGGAAUAUUGGACAAUGGGGGGAACCCUGAUCCAGCCAUGCCGCGUGUGUGAAGAAGGCCUUAUGGUUGUAAAGCACUUUAAGCGAGGAGGAGGCUCUUUUGGUUAAUACCCAAGAUGAGUGGACGUUACUCGCAGAAUAAGCACCGGCUAACUCUGUGCCAGCAGCCGCAGUAA
Molecule: ribosomal RNA, 503 nt
Filed under: uncultured bacterium
Lineage: Bacteria
Description: partial 16S ribosomal RNA
Rfam family: Bacterial small subunit ribosomal RNA
Source: RNAcentral